RNAcentral lists this ribosomal RNA (233 nucleotides) under Triticum aestivum (bread wheat). RNAcentral's name for it is "partial small subunit ribosomal RNA". The record is from RNAcentral. Lineage: Eukaryota; Viridiplantae; Streptophyta; Magnoliopsida; Poales; Poaceae.
UUUUGUAGGUCGUACCCAUAUUGCUCGCUUGAUCCGUCGUGCUAGGCCGUAAUCUUGCCAGUCCUGUGAGUUGUGGAGCCCAGCUAGAGUUGUUAUCUGCCAAACCAAGACUUACGCUGCCAUUUUUAUCAUACUUUCGAUGUCAUUUAAUAGCCUUAGGGCUAUGCCAGAUAAUUGUAUUCAUCAAUGAUGUAAUCUCAUAUACAUGUGUUUGAUGAAUAUUUUUGUACCUG